GAUGAACGCUGGCGGCGUGCCUAAUACAUGCAAGUCGAGCGAACAGACGAGGAGCUUGCUCCUCUGACGUUAGCGGCGGACGGGUGAGUAACACGUGGAUAACCUACCUAUAAGACUGGGAUAACUUCGGGAAACCGGAGCUAAUACCGGAUAAUAUAUUAAACCGCAUGGUUCAAUAGUGAAAGACGGUUUUGCUGUCCCUUAUAGAUGGAUCCGCGCCGCAUUAGCUAGUUGGUAAGGUAACGGCUUACCAAGGCAACGAUGCGUAGCCGACCUGAGAGGGUGAUCGGCCACACUGGAACUGAGACACGGUCCAGACUCCUACGGGAGGCGGCAGUAGGAAAUCUUCGGCAAUGGGCGAAAGCCUGACGGGGCAACGCGGCGUGAGUGAUGAAGGUCUUCGGAUCGUAAAACUCUGUUAUUAGGGAAGAACAAAUGUGUAAGUAACUAUGCACGUCUUGACGGUACCUAAUCAGAAAGCCACGGCUAACUACGUG
Molecule: ribosomal RNA, 497 nt
Filed under: uncultured bacterium
Lineage: Bacteria
Description: partial 16S ribosomal RNA
Rfam family: Bacterial small subunit ribosomal RNA
Source: RNAcentral